AGCUCAGAAACAAGACCUGUUCGAAAAAUUAGGAGAAAAUUAAUCUGUUACCUGUGAUUGUCUUGAAGGCUUGAUAUUGGUGAUAUUGGCUCUACAAUCUACAUUAACGGUAAUAAGUAAUAUAUUUCUGUGCGUAAAUUAAGGUUUAUUCGGUAGGUACCUAUAUCACGUUGUUUAGUAGUCGGAUACUCCAUAGAUUUGCCUUAUUAAUGCAUUAUAGUGAAUUUCUCAAGACUAUUUUUCUUUUGGGGUGUGUUCUUCACCUUUUGUAUGCAAGGAUUAUUUUAACUAAAUAUAAGUUUUCUCGAACACGGAUCAGGGUUAGGCUUAACCUUUUAAACGCCAAAUAGUGAAAAAGAAUACGUCGUGCCCCGGACACCAGACAGACGUGGAUCGCGAUUAUUUGAGCAAAAUUAGGUGUUAAGAAGGCCCGCAUGGGUCCCCAAUGUAAUUGGCAAAACUGAUGGCCAUGGUUGGCGUCCUUAGGAAGCAUUUCCAGCGACGGCCAUAUCCGCCCAUGGUGGUCAAAAGGUUAAUGUGAUGAGAUAGGACCUCAACUAUGUCUAGUUUAUUUAUUUUGUAUUAUCUCGGUUGGUUGGCGCUGUAUCACUAAAGAAAUUUUAUACAAAUAAUCAAAUAUCUAAAA
Molecule: long non-coding RNA, 646 nt
Organism: Leguminivora glycinivorella
Lineage: Eukaryota; Metazoa; Arthropoda; Insecta; Lepidoptera; Tortricidae
Exons: 4
Source: RefSeq, a predicted model, not a curated record